Molecule: ribosomal RNA, 465 nt
Filed under: Vreelandella stevensii
Lineage: Bacteria; Pseudomonadati; Pseudomonadota; Gammaproteobacteria; Oceanospirillales; Halomonadaceae
Description: partial 16S ribosomal RNA
Rfam family: Bacterial small subunit ribosomal RNA
Source: RNAcentral
CCUACGGGUGGCUGCAGUGGGGAAUAUUGGACAAUGGGCGAAAGCCUGAUCCAGCCAUGCCGCGUGUGUGAAGAAGGCCUUCGGGUUGUAAAGCACUUUCAGUGGGGAAGAAAGCCUUGGGGCUAAUACCCUCGAGGAAGGACAUCACCCACAGAAGAAGCACCGGCUAACUCCGUGCCAGCAGCCGCGGUAAUACGGAGGGUGCGAGCGUUAAUCGGAAUUACUGGGCGUAAAGCGCGCGUAGGCGGUCUGAUAAGCCGGUUGUGAAAGCCCCGGGCUCAACCUGGGAACGGCAUCCGGAACUGUCAGGCUAGAGUGCAUGAGAGGAAGGUAGAAUUCCCGGUGUAGCGGUGAAAUGCGUAGAGAUCGGGAGGAAUACCAGUGGCGAAGGCGGCCUUCUGGACUGACACUGACGCUGAGGUGCGAAAGCGUGGGUAGCAAACAGGAUUAGAUACCCGAGUAGUC